This 71-nucleotide transfer RNA is filed under the name Candidatus Thorarchaeota archaeon. Its description in RNAcentral is "tRNA-Cys". It matches the Rfam family "tRNA". Rfam says of the family: Transfer RNA (tRNA) molecules are approximately 80 nucleotides in length. Their secondary structure includes four short double-helical elements and three loops (D, anti-codon, and T loops). Further hydrogen bonds mediate the characteristic L-shaped molecular structure. tRNAs have two regions of fundamental functional importance: the anti-codon, which is responsible for specific mRNA codon recognition, and the 3' end, to which the tRNAs corresponding amino acid is attached (by aminoacyl-tRNA synthetases). tRNAs cope with the degeneracy of the genetic code in two manners: having more than one tRNA (with a specific anti-codon) for a particular amino acid; and 'wobble' base-pairing, i.e. permitting non-standard base-pairing at the 3rd anti-codon position. RNAcentral also lists the same sequence under 1 other name. Lineage: Archaea; Promethearchaeati; Candidatus Thorarchaeota. The record is from RNAcentral.
GCCGGAGUUACCGAGUGGUUAGGUGGCGGCCUGCAGAGCCGCUUACGGGGGUUCAAAUCCCCUCUCCGGCU